This is a long non-coding RNA of Oreochromis niloticus (Nile tilapia), 4499 nucleotides long. Lineage: Eukaryota; Metazoa; Chordata; Actinopteri; Cichliformes; Cichlidae. The record is from Ensembl.
CAGAUCUAUUUGUGUUUACCUCUGGGAGGUUCAGCACACACACAUCUGUACAUACAUUACAUGAAUUAAAAUUUUAUGCAUGGCCACACGUAAAUCAUUUAGAGGCCUUUUGCUGCCACUUCUAUGGUCGACACUUUGGUUUCUUGUCCUCUCAGACCAGCAGGUGGAGGUGAAGGUGAGGGAAGGAUCAGAGUCUGUCAUCCUGCCCUGCAAAACAAAACCCAACCUGCCUGAGAAUACCACAGUGGAGUGGACUCGCUCUGACCUCGGACUCAUCACAGUCCAUGAGUAUUCUAACAGAAAUGAUGACCUUAUGACUCAGGAUGAAGUUUACACAAAUAGAACAAAGAUGAAUGAAGACCUGCUGAGAACUGGAGACCUCAGUCUGACCCUGAAAUACCCCAAAGUCAAAGACACGGGACGAUACAUCUGCAACAUCUACAGGGACAAAGACAUCCUGAGACAGAAAGUCAUGCUGCAGGUCAAAAGUAGGUGCUGGAGAUAAAGGUCAAAGGUCAAUACUGUGGACACAGUUUAGAGAUUAGAAGUCAUUUUUUAUGUUUCCCCACAGAACCAUUUCCAUCCUGGUUCAAAGAUCUUCUGAUUCUCCUGUUUGUCUUUGUGAUUUUUGGAGGUCUUUUAUAUUAUUUACGUCACUAUUACAUGUCAGAUUACCAGGUGGAGGUGGAUUCAGGGGUGGAGUCUGUAAAGCUGCCCUGCAAAACUAUAUUUAAAUUCCUAAAACACACUAAAGUGGAGUGGAGGGACAGAAACAACAGGAAGGUCCACGUGUAUCACAAUGGCUCUGACCAGGUUAGAGAACAGCACCGGUUUUACAGAAACCGAACAGAGAUGAAGAGGAAUUUACUGAAACCUGGAGACCUCAGUCUGACCCUGACGUAUCCCACUGAUGAUGACAACUCCACCUACACCUGCACCGUCUACAGCAGGAAGGGAAACAUACUGGCAACGAAAAAUGUGCAGCUCCAUGUCAGAGUCCCCCAGGUGGAGGUGGAUUCAGGGGAGGCAUCUGUCCUGCUGCCCUGCAAAACUACUAUAAACCUGCCUAAAGAUGCUAAAGUGGAGUGGAUGACCAAAUUCAACAGGAAGGUCCACGUGUAUGAGACCGGAUCUGACCAGCUUGAAGAUCAGGACAACUAUUACAGAGACCGAACACUGAUGAAUAAAGACCUGCUGAAAACUGGAGACCUCAGUCUGACCCUGAAAUACCCCACAGACUGGGACACAGACAUCUACACCUGCACCGUCUACAGCAGGGAGGGAAAAAAAAUCCUGAUGAAACAAGUGGAGCUGAAAGUCAGAGUCUGUCAGGUGGAGGUGGAGGAGGGGGCGGAGUCUGUAGAGCUACCUUUCAAAACCACACAAGACCUGCCUGCAGAUGCUAAAGUGGUGUGGUGGAACAAUGAUGACAGGAAGGUCCACAUGUAUAAGAACGGCUCUGAUCAGCCUGGAGAACAGCACCAGGUUUACAGAGACCGAACAAAGAUGAAGAGAAGAUCUCUGCUGAAGUCUGGAGACCUCAGUCUGACCCUGAAACAGCCCACAGAGAGAGACAGUGGGAGGUACAGCUGUAGAGUCUACGGGGAGAUCAAGAGAUACAAAAGAGUGCUGCUCAGAGUCAAAGGGAGAGUUCAGGUCCAGUAUCACACAGCAGACAUCAGGAACAGAAGCAGCUCCAUUGAUCUGACUCCUCUGAUGACUGAUCAAUCAGUUUGAUCUGUGCGUUUGUGCAUUUUUCUAUCUUAAAUGUCCUGUAUAUUGACUGUUACCUGUAAUGCCACUUUCUGACCAACAGCUGGCACUCUUACAAAUACCAGAUCUGAUUUGACUGCAGUUAUAUCAGAGGAGGAAUGCUUGUCCAGUCACACCUGCAGUGACGUGUAACACUGAUCGCUAAUGAAUUGAUACACGUUACGUAUUAAGCAGAAUAUUGGGCAAGUAUUAAUCUGAAGAUUUAAGAACUGCUACUGGAGCUGAUGCUCAGUAAUAAAUAAAUACACACAACACAAAAUGCUUUUGCAGGUACCAUGUAUGUACAAAACCAAGGAAAAAUAAGGGAAGAAGAGGAAAGAUUUAAACAAUCACUCCUGCUGCAGUAGUUCAAUCAAAACAGUGACAACUAAAUAGUCCUGUAGCUUAGAUCAAGCAAAACAGAUUCUCAAGUUCAAUUAAAUUUCCUAUAAAUCACACACCACAAUAUCAAAAACACUGGUCCACACUGAAGAGGAAAUGUCCAUGAGUUUUAUCUGAGUGUCCAUGAUGUCCAAGCGCUAUUGUCCAUAAACGGGGGAAAUAAUGUGUAUGGUUGUGGAAAUCAGUGAAAUUUAAUAAUGAGUUCAGAGAGGGGGACAGAGCGUCAUCUUUGACAACUUCCUACCAGACCAAGCAGAAGUGGAAGCUUCAAUGCAAUCGAGUUGAUUUUGGUAAAUAUAUUUGAUCUGAAAACGUGAAAAACUUUGCUUUUCAUAAUGUAAAUAUCAUUACAGUAUAUAACUUUAGAAAUACUUCCUUUUGACUUAAAUUUAAAAAAAAAAAUAAAUUUAUUUUUAAAAUAAAGCACUCCAGCCUCUUCUGUUCCAUGUGAGAGGAUUUUCUGUAAGGCAGGAGAAAUUAUCUCCAAGAAAAGAAACAGACUCGGCCAUCACACAGCUGGUGUUCUUUAUUUUAUUUUGUACAACCAUUUAAAAAUACUACGAUAACUACAUGCGAGAACAAUCGGGUGUCACAAUAAAAUGUUUCACAAAUUAUUUCAGUCAGUAAAAACAAACAAACAAAAAAAAAUUGUCCGCCACAAGACGGAGGAGAACACCACAGGGAUAAAUCCUGCAGGCGGCGGUCCUAGCCUCUUUGGCGCCCUGGGCGAACACUCCCUCUGGCUUUGAACUUUUCUUGUCCAUCUUCCAUUGGUUUUAGUUUUGCACUCCAGUGUGAACACUCAUCCCCCAACCUGAAGAUCACCACAACAAAACCUAAUAGACCUACACCUUAGUUCACAGAUUCGCUUUGUCUCUGGUUUAUUUCUGGGAUUUCGCAUAACUCAUGAUUCAAAUCAUGAAUCCAUAAUGGGCUUGGAUUUACAACAUUAUGAAUGAAAUGUGCUCUAUUUGGAAGCAGCAGGUCUCCCUCCCAUACACCUGAAAGUCCUGAAAACGCAUUGUGAAUUCUGUCUCGAGUCUACGGAUGUAUCUGUUUAUGUCCGCGGUGCUGAUGCUGCGCUGAGCGGACAGUUCCUGAAGCAUUUGAAGUGUCGGAAUGUGGAAAUUUCAAUAUAGCUAAUUUGCAAUGUGCACCGCUGGCCCAGCUAUUUUUUUUAAUGCACCUGCUCAGAUUAACUCACUGCGUGUCGUGCCCAGGGCUGGACUGGGACAAAAAUUCAGCCCGGGCAUUUUGACUAGAGACCAGCCCACCAGGUAUUAAAGCCAUAAAGCCUUUGAAUGAAAACAAACGCUGUUGUGACAGUGAUGUACACUGUCUUGUUGGUAUAUGUAUGAUUUCUAUACAUUUUACAUCAGAUAAAAACUUUGGUUGUAAAAUUCAGAUAAUUAUUUAUUAAAAACGAGACAUUUUAAAUGAGAAUAAGAAAGUAUUUCUUUGUGUCCACCUUUCCCUGUUAAUGCCCUACCUGGCCCCCCUGGCAACACUUUGCUAGACCCGCCCCUGCACAGUUACCAGCUGUCAGCUACGUAGAAAAGGAUCCUGGUGUUAUUUGUCUCUCAGAAACAGUUCAUAACUUCCCUUCAACUCAUCCAUGUCACCUAAAAGGUAAACCUGUUUCUACAUCACCUGUUCAGCUCUGAUGAUUCAGUAAGGACAUCUCCUGGUUUCAUCUUCAUGUUUCCCUCUCACCAGAUAACCAAACCGAUAUCAUGACCAGCAGCUUUACAGCUGUGGCUCCAGCAAACCUCAGCUGAUACUAGAAAGUAAUAUUAAAUAAAUUCUAACAGCUGAUCAAGCUUAAACGUGCAGCUGUUGUUUAGCGCAACAUCCGCUGGUUUCCUCUUUCUGGCACAAAAUGGGCGAUAAAUAAACAAGAGAGAAAAGCUGAUCAGCUGAUCAUUGAUCAGUUUCAUGACUGAAGUAGGAACAGGAGAGGGAGGGGGAGAGAAUGAGAGGAGAAGAGGCAGCUGACAGCGUAAAGCAUUUUGCAGAAUAACUCCAGCUUUGUGUCUUUUUCAUUGUAGCUGAAGUACGGGACAAACUGUGUUCCUUUUCAGCUCAAUAUGAAACACGUAAUAUUUUCUCUGAAUGCGGGACGAUUCUGUUUUUUACUGGGCAGUUGGAAACUCUACUAACCUUAUGAAUAAAAUAAAGUUUACUAUCAGUAACAUCAUAGCACCCACCCAGCUGUAUAUAAACUCCGUCAUGCUAGCUAGUACGCAGUUCGAGUUAUUGUAACUGACUGUAAAACGUCCGCAUAAUGAAAAUAAACUCCACCUAAACUUGGUUUAUAUCUGACCCAGAUAGACUGCAGGUCAUAA